This 569-nucleotide long non-coding RNA is filed under the name Myripristis murdjan (pinecone soldierfish). Its description in RNAcentral is "lncRNA (ENSMMDG00005005865.1)". The record is from RNAcentral. Lineage: Eukaryota; Metazoa; Chordata; Actinopteri; Holocentriformes; Holocentridae.
GAGAAAUUAGCCUCAGGCAUGAGAAAUCACAUUGACGAGACGUUCAAGGAGACCUUUCCGAAUGAAGAAAGACGUGGACCAUUCAAAGGGGCCAUCAGUGACUUUACUCUUGACACAGAAGCUCUGGGCAGCAAGUACCAAGACGUCUUACUGCAGCUGACAUUUCUCAAGACAGAGGAAGCAAUAGUGAAGACAAAACUCAAAGAUAUCAUCCGAGAUGAAAAGAAAAGAAUCUACCACAGUCUGGCGAGGUCAAUCCAGGACUCCAUGAAGCCAUGCUAUAAAAACGCGGCAGAAAUCCAUGGAAAGGACUCACUGAAAAACAUGAGGGACACAAUUAAGAACCACCUGCAUGAGUCCAAGGACAUCAUGUUUGACCAGGCCAAAGAUCACAUGCUGACUCGACUGAGAAACUUGACGGAUCGAAUCCUGAACACCCUGAAUCAAGAUAUGGUGAAAUCGAUUGAGGUGUCACUCAAGACUGAUGAUCGCUCAAUCCCAGUUGUCACUCGGGAAUAUGAGAAGGUGAAGACUCACUAUGAAAAUCUGAGCUCCAACACAAACACCAA